AUUGAACGCUGGCGGCAGGCCUAACACAUGCAAGUCGAGCGAACGGCGGACGGGUGAGUAAUGUAUGGGGACUGCCUGAUAGAGGGGUAUAACUACUGGAAACGGUGGCUAAUACCGCAUACUAUCGUAUGAGCUAGAUGGGAUUAGCUAGUAGGGGGGGUAAAGGCUCACCUUGGCGACGAUCCACAGCUGGUCUGAGAGGAUGAUCAGCCACACUGGGACUGAGACACGGCCCAGACUCCUACGGAGGCAGCAGUGGGGAAUAUUGCACAAUGGGCGCAAGCCUGAUGCAGCCAUGCCGCGUGUAUGAAGAAGGCCUUAGGGUUGUAAAGUACUUUCAGCGGGGAGGCGUUACCCUCAGAAGAAGCACCGGCUAACUCCGUGCCAGCAGCCGCGGUAAUUC
Molecule: ribosomal RNA, 403 nt
Filed under: uncultured bacterium
Lineage: Bacteria
Description: partial 16S ribosomal RNA
Rfam family: Bacterial small subunit ribosomal RNA
Source: RNAcentral